Wyeomyia smithii (pitcher-plant mosquito) is the source of this 2459-nucleotide RNA transcript. It is a transcript of the gene named receptor expression-enhancing protein 1, with no coding region annotated. The transcript is spliced from 8 exons. The record is from RefSeq and is a predicted model, not a curated record. Lineage: Eukaryota; Metazoa; Arthropoda; Insecta; Diptera; Culicidae.
UGUGUUGUGCUGCUGAGUUGUUUUUCAAACGCGAGCGAGUUCGCGUCACGACGGCUUCACGCUGCAACAGACGUCCGCGAGUUUGUGAAGUUUGUGCGUUGCGGGUUGAUUGAAUCAGGGAUAAGGCAGCGAAGAAAAACGAACCACAGCCCAAUCAAGUUAAUCAUCGCUGCAGUUAGUACGGUAGUGAGAAAAUCGUCACUGUUUCUACAUAAAUAAUUUGCCGAUGUUCGUUCGAAGCUGGUGAAAAUGAUUAGUGCCAUUGUUUCGCGAAUAGUGAUACUAUUAUUCGGCACACUCUAUCCCGCCUAUGCAUCAUAUAAGGCCGUCAGGACCAAAAAUGUCAAGGAAUAUGUCAAAUGGAUGAUGUACUGGAUUGUGUUUGCGUUUUUCACCUGCAUCGAAACGUUCACCGACAUCCUGCUGUCGUGGUUUCCGUUCUACUAUGAAAUCAAAGUCAUCCUCGUCCUAUGGCUGCUGUCGCCGGCGACGCGUGGCAGCUCAACACUCUACCGAAAGUUCGUACAUCCGAUGCUGACGCGUCGCGAGCAGGAAAUCGAUGACUAUAUAAACCAAGCUAAAGAAAAAGGCUACACCGCCGUACUGCAGCUAGGUUCCAAAGGUGUUAACUAUGCCACGAACGUCAUCAUGCAAACCGCAAUCAAGGGUGGAGGCGGUCUGGUGCAGACGCUGCGCAAAAGCUACAGCUUGAGCGACCUCUCGGAACCGGACGCGCAGCGCACCCAGGAGGAGAUGGACGAGUUGACCCGGCCUCAGCGGGUAUUGCGCUCGAAGAGCACCCGGUCCGCUUCCGGUGGUCGCCAUGUGGAAAUGUAUUUCCCUGAAGUGGAACUAGCUGGGACACCACACCGCAAUCCACCGCCGUAUAACUAUAUUCGGUCCUCCGACGAUAUCAGUUCCGGAUAUUCGAGCGCAGAGCCUGGAUUGAGCCGAACGGCUUCGAUGAGUAACACCGCAAGGCCACGUGUCAAGUCUAAAACACGAGAGGAUGGUGAUGACGUUUUCUUUGACGGGAGAGAAACAGAUCAAUACUAUGGCAGUGGUUCUCAGUUUUCCCCAUCCGCUACUCUGUAUGAAAUUCCCCCCAGUCCUCUCCCGGCCAUCACCCAAGCCAAUGUGGUUUUUGUUGAUUCGAACCGUCAGCCUAUUUUCUCACAGCAUCCCGCUUCGGUUCCAAGCUCGCCGCAAUCGAUGCCACCGGAGCUAGAGCAGAAAUAUGAACUGUUUUUGCAGUGGAUGGAAUCUCAAAAACGAGCCGAACAAGAACCGGCUUCAAACGAAAAUAAAACCGUACCGAAAGAAUGUACACAAGAAUCUAGUGAAUUAGAAAAUCUUCCGAGAGAAAUUUUUGUGGAUGAAAACGAAGUUUCACAGAUAGAUUCUUCGAAGGCCUAUUCAACCCUAGAUGAAGAAAUUGAGCCGUCGGAAGAAAGCCUUAUUGAGGAUGCGUUUCGCGAUACAAUUUCAUUAUCUAGCGAGGACGAAUUUUUGGAAGUAUCACCUGACGAUGAAGUGAUCGAAAAGACAACCGAAGCGGAAGCUUCUGAAUCUGCUAACGACGUCCAAGCUAUUGAAGCUAUCCCAACCGUGGUAGAUUCAAUGGAAACACAAGAACCUCCCACUUUUGCUGAUGAUCCGGCUUUCAAAGAAAAGCUCCACAUAUCAGAAGAUGAAUCAACGUCGGAUGAUUCUAAAUUGGUUCUUGAUAAAAAGAUCGAUUCAAAAGAACAAUCUGUUGCUGAUGACCAAUCCAUUGUAAAACUCGACCAUCUUAAUGUAUUCACAUGGAACCUAAACUCGUCCAGCUCCUCGUUGGCGGUCUCCGAUGCUGGCAGUCAUGCCGACGAACGUCCAGCCAAAAAGCCACAAUCCCAUGGCAAGCGCAAGGCUCCAUCGGUUCCGAUUGCAUUUAAGCCUGAAAGUUUUGUUCCGUCCAUUACUGAUGCACCGGUUCCACAAAUACCCGCACGAACCCCAAAGCCAGAGCAAGCGAUGAAAGUAAGUGGUACUUCCGGUGGUGAAUCUUUGUUCGAUAAAGAGAAAGACAAAAAGCACAAAACGAAGUUUAUGAGUUCUCUCACUGGGAUCUUUAAGCAUGAUGGUCCAUCAACUUCCGCCUCGGGCGAGCCGCCCCGAAGUGUAGAUCCUUUACUGCCUAAGGAGACAGAGAUUUGAGCUCGGUGUUCCAUUUUCCCCCUCUUUUUCCAUUGUCGCUCAAGUUGAGAUCCACUGCCUGUGCCCGCACAGAAUCAUUUUUGUUGGUGAUUUUCCGUUCAAUUAUUUUCCCUGAUGCAGUGAAAUAAAGAAAUUCGCUAUCUGCUUAGGCUGUCAUAUGCAACUACUAUAAAAGCCCUACAUUAGAACCACCCAUCAGCACCUUCAUUGCACUUGUCGUAAAUGAAAUGUAUAACCAGUAAUCGUACCCAGUUAUGGCUGAA